RNAcentral lists this ribosomal RNA (521 nucleotides) under uncultured bacterium. Its description in RNAcentral is "bacterial SSU rRNA". It matches the Rfam family "Bacterial small subunit ribosomal RNA", at positions 57 to 573 of the family's 1533-position model. The record is from RNAcentral.
GCAGUCGAGCGGAACGAUGUAGCUUGCUACAGGCGUCGAGCGGCGGACGGGUGAGUAACGCGUAGGAACCUACCUAGUAGUUUGGGAUAGCCCAGAGAAAUUUGGAUUAAUACCGAAUACGCCCCACGGGGGAAAGCGGAGGAUCUUCGGACUUCGCGCUAUUAGAUGGGCCUGCGUAAGAUUAGCUUGUUGGUGAGGUAAUGGCUCACCAAGGCAACGAUCUUUAGCUGGUUUGAGAGGAUGAUCAGCCACACUGGGACUGAGACACGGCCCAGACUCCUACGGGAGGCAGCAGUGGGGAAUAUUGCACAAUGGGCGAAAGCCUGAUGCAGCCAUACCGCGUGUGUGAAGAAGGCCUUCGGGUUGUAAAGCACUUUCAGUUGUGAGGAAAGGUUGGUAGUUAAUAGCUGCUAGCUGUGACGUUAACAACAGAAGAGGCACCGGCUAACUUCGUGCCAGCAGCCGCGGUAAUACGAGGGGUGCAAGCGUUAAUCGGAAUUACUGGGCGUAAAGCGCGCGUA